This is a non-coding RNA of Notechis scutatus (mainland tiger snake), 104 nucleotides long. NCBI's taxonomy places the organism in Eukaryota, Metazoa, Chordata, Lepidosauria, Squamata, Elapidae. The record is from RefSeq and is a predicted model, not a curated record.
UCCAACCUGGGGAUCAUCAUCGGCUGCGUUGUGGCUGCUCUCGUCCUAGUGGGUGUGAUUGCUGGGAUCCUGGUAUUCUUCAAAAGACACAGAAUGGCUCCAAA